Molecule: ribosomal RNA, 151 nt
Filed under: uncultured bacterium Dw-12
Lineage: Bacteria
Description: partial 16S ribosomal RNA
Rfam family: Bacterial small subunit ribosomal RNA
Source: RNAcentral
CUUCCGCAAUGGACGAAAGUCUGACGGAGCAACGCCGCGUGAGUGACGAAGGUUUUCGGAUCGUAAAACUCUGUUGUAAGGGAAGAACACAUGCCAUUUAACUGAUGGCAUCUUGACGGUACCUUACCAGAAAGCCACGGCUAACUACGUG